This 1404-nucleotide ribosomal RNA is filed under the name Klebsiella aerogenes. Its description in RNAcentral is "bacterial SSU rRNA". It matches the Rfam family "Bacterial small subunit ribosomal RNA". The record is from RNAcentral. Lineage: Bacteria; Pseudomonadati; Pseudomonadota; Gammaproteobacteria; Enterobacterales; Enterobacteriaceae.
CGCUGGCGGCAGGCCUAACACAUGCAAGUCGAGCGGUAGCACAGAGAGCUUGCUCUCGGGUGACGAGCGGCGGACGGGUGAGUAAUGUCUGGGAAACUGCCUGAUGGAGGGGGAUAACUACUGGAAACGGUAGCUAAUACCGCAUAACGUCGCAAGACCAAAGUGGGGGACCUUCGGGCCUCAUGCCAUCAGAUGUGCCCAGAUGGGAUUAGCUAGUAGGUGGGGUAAUGGCUCACCUAGGCGACGAUCCCUAGCUGGUCUGAGAGGAUGACCAGCCACACUGGAACUGAGACACGGUCCAGACUCCUACGGGAGGCAGCAGUGGGGAAUAUUGCACAAUGGGCGCAAGCCUGAUGCAGCCAUGCCGCGUGUAUGAAGAAGGCCUUCGGGUUGUAAAGUACUUUCAGCGAGGAGGAAGGCGUUAAGGUUAAUAACCUUAGCGAUUGACGUUACUCGCAGAAGAAGCACCGGCUAACUCCGUGCCAGCAGCCGCGGUAAUACGGAGGGUGCAAGCGUUAAUCGGAAUUACUGGGCGUAAAGCGCACGCAGGCGGUCUGUCAAGUCGGAUGUGAAAUCCCCGGGCUCAACCUGGGAACUGCAUUCGAAACUGGCAGGCUAGAGUCUUGUAGAGGGGGGUAGAAUUCCAGGUGUAGCGGUGAAAUGCGUAGAGAUCUGGAGGAAUACCGGUGGCGAAGGCGGCCCCCUGGACAAAGACUGACGCUCAGGUGCGAAAGCGUGGGGAGCAAACAGGAUUAGAUACCCUGGUAGUCCACGCCGUAAACGAUGUCGACUUGGAGGUUGUGCCCUUGAGGCGUGGCUUCCGGAGCUAACGCGUUAAGUCGACCGCCUGGGGAGUACGGCCGCAAGGUUAAAACUCAAAUGAAUUGACGGGGGCCCGCACAAGCGGUGGAGCAUGUGGUUUAAUUCGAUGCAACGCGAAGAACCUUACCUACUCUUGACAUCCAGAGAACUUAGCAGAGAUGCUUUGGUGCCUUCGGGAACUCUGAGACAGGUGCUGCAUGGCUGUCGUCAGCUCGUGUUGUGAAAUGUUGGGUUAAGUCCCGCAACGAGCGCAACCCUUAUCCUUUGUUGCCAGCGGUCCGGCCGGGAACUCAAAGGAGACUGCCAGUGAUAAACUGGAGGAAGGUGGGGAUGACGUCAAGUCAUCAUGGCCCUUACGAGUAGGGCUACACACGUGCUACAAUGGCAUAUACAAAGAGAAGCGACCUCGCGAGAGCAAGCGGACCUCAUAAAGUAUGUCGUAGUCCGGAUUGGAGUCUGCAACUCGACUCCAUGAAGUCGGAAUCGCUAGUAAUCGUAGAUCAGAAUGCUACGGUGAAUACGUUCCCGGGCCUUGUACACACCGCCCGUCACACCAUGGGAGUGGGUUGCAAAAGAAGUAGG